This 398-nucleotide ribosomal RNA is filed under the name uncultured bacterium. RNAcentral's name for it is "partial 16S ribosomal RNA". It matches the Rfam family "Bacterial small subunit ribosomal RNA", at positions 523 to 918 of the family's 1533-position model. The record is from RNAcentral.
AUACGUAGGGUGCGAGCGUUGUCCGGAAUUACUGGGCGUAAAGAGCUCGUAGGUGGUUUGUCGCGUCGUCUGUGAAAUUCCGGGGCUUAACUCCGGGCGUGCAGGCGAUACGGGCAUAACUUGAGUACUGUAGGGGAGACUGGAAUUCCUGGUGUAGCGGUGAAAUGCGCAGAUAUCAGGAGGAACACCAGUGGCGAAGGCGGGUCUCUGGGCAGUAACUGACGCUGAGGAGCGAAAGCAUGGGUAGCGAACAGGAUUAGAUACCCUGGUAGUCCAUGCCGUAAACGGUGGGCGCUAGGUGUAGGGGUCUUCCACGACUUCUGUGCCGUAGCUAACGCAUUAAGCGCCCCGCCUGGGGAGUACGGCCGCAAGGCUAAAACUCAAAGGAAUUGACGGGG